UGGGAAGUAGCUCAGUGGUAGAGCGGGGGCCUGUUAAGCCCUUCGCCGUAGGUUCGAUCCCUACCUUCCCAGCCA
RNAcentral lists this transfer RNA (75 nucleotides) under Emcibacteraceae bacterium. Its description in RNAcentral is "tRNA-Asn". It matches the Rfam family "tRNA". From Rfam's summary of the family: Transfer RNA (tRNA) molecules are approximately 80 nucleotides in length. Their secondary structure includes four short double-helical elements and three loops (D, anti-codon, and T loops). Lineage: Bacteria; Pseudomonadati; Pseudomonadota; Alphaproteobacteria; Emcibacterales; Emcibacteraceae. The record is from RNAcentral.